This 624-nucleotide long non-coding RNA is filed under the name Rattus norvegicus (Norway rat). RNAcentral's name for it is "long non-coding RNA NONRATT033497". Lineage: Eukaryota; Metazoa; Chordata; Mammalia; Rodentia; Muridae. The record is from RNAcentral.
GUAAAAACAAAGGUCUUUGCAAGAGAGACACUGAGCAAAACAUGAUGGAUAUCUCGGCCACGCACAUAAUUGCUUCCAGGUGGCUAGCCGCUUUAUUACUCUGGGGGCCAUGCUGCCACCCUGACAAUGAAAAAUUCGGCAUCACAAUUAUUCCUUGAGGCCAUGUAUAAAGACGUGAAAACCAAGUCAAACAAGAAUAAACAAAAGCCAUGUGUACGCCAGGGAGCUGUUGGAGACGCGAUUCCGAGAUCCUGUCUUCAGAAGUCUUUUUAAAUACAACUAGAAAGUGACCCAGAUACCAUCAUUCCCAAACUCUGGGACUGUUUUGAUUAAUCAGCGAGAAAUGCUUGCUCUAACUGGUCUUUGUUUCCAUAAGGAUACUUUGUGUUAACAAGGGGUAGUCCAGUGGUGACUUGAUUUCUGUACUUUUCUUUUUCCUUUCUUUCCUCUCCUGCCUUGUGCCAGGACCCUCCUCUUCCCUUUGGUACUUCUUCAGUCAGCAAAAGUCUUUCAGAACACUCCCUGAGCUGGAGACCUACAGCUCGAAGAGGCCAGCAAGAAUUUCUUUCUUAUUUGGUCAUUGUUUGUUCCCUGCGGGGGACAGGAAGGGAAAGACAAUUUCAU